GCGGGAUGGGUUCUUUCGGUAUUAGGCCUUUGGUGCGAUGGGCCACCAGUGGACCGCAUGAUAGUGAAAACCCGCCUAACCUUGGGCUUUUUUUUCGAUUUUUCAACUGAAAAUAGAAAAAAACGAGAGAGACUGUGAGGAUGGCGAUCUAGUUUUGAUCUUCACCGACAAACUAUGGAGCUCCGGUGAUGGCGGUUUGGUGUUCGAUGAUUCUUCCGGUCUCCCAUGCGUCUUUGAUUCUUCCAGAACUGUGCGAGCUCACUUUUCACCGAAGAAACUGAUGGAGCUCCGACGAUGGGUUCUUCAGCGAUGGUGCUUCCAGACUCUUCUUCCUACAUGCAUGUCACAGGUAUUGAAAGAUUCAACAUAUUUUGUGUUUAUAAUAAAUUUUUGGAUCUAACUAUUUUUUUAGGUUGUUUCUCUUCGAUCCACCACCGGAGCUUCUAUUCUUCUUCGAUCCACCACCGGAGCUUCUCUUCGUCUUUGAUCCACUACUGGAGAUUCUCCUUCGCUGCAUGCAUGUUCAUCUUCUUCUCCUCUUCACUGAACGUGUACACAAUUCUUCAUAUUUCAGGCUAGCUAGACUGAUGUUUAGUUGCAAUUAUCUUUGUCCCGGUUAGCUUGAUGUUUAGUUACAUUGCUUUGCAAACAACAAACUAAAAAGUUCUGCACCAUUUAAACAUGUACAACUAAAGAACAACAAGAAACUACUUAAAACUACGAUUGUAAACAAAGCCAUUUAGAUUCUAAUUCAAAUUUGCAUCUACAAAGCGUACUGAUCAUGAAGUUUAGAUGGUGCAGGCAAUGGAAGAUCAGACGUCCAAUGGGCUGACCCGCAAAGGCCCAUACAUAUAGCAGGCGGGUUUGGGCAGCCAUUUCGGAGACCGGCCCGCGCAGGUCUGGCCCUCCAUGAUUCGCUUGAAGCCAUUCUUGCUGCGGUCCGGGACGGGACUGGACAACUUUUUUGCCAUUUCUAUAGAGGAGCUCUUUAUUAUAUCAUCUUACAUAUGUUUAUUUUUUACUUGUUUAUUUCUAUUAUGUUUUGACCCACAUGACUUUACUUGGGAAGUUAUUUCACUAAUUGUGACUGAUUUAUUACUGUCAUUUUUAUGCACUGAAGCAUAUGUGUAUAAGUCUUUAUUACUAGCCCGCUUAUUGUUACCACCAGGUAGAGCUCCAACGCAAUAAGCAAGUUUUAAGAGUGAAAAGAUGAUUUCUAAAAUAUGUGGAAACCCAGCUAGAGAGACC
RNAcentral lists this long non-coding RNA (1248 nucleotides) under Brassica napus (rape). RNAcentral's name for it is "long non-coding RNA (BNAP_LNC004471)". Lineage: Eukaryota; Viridiplantae; Streptophyta; Magnoliopsida; Brassicales; Brassicaceae. The record is from RNAcentral.